GAUGAACGCUGGCGGCGUGCUUAAUACAUGCAAGUCGAGCGAACAGACGAGGAGCUUGCUCCUCUGACGUUAGCGGCGGACGGGUGAGUAACACGUGGAUAACCUACCUAUAAGACUGGGAUAACUUCGGGAAACCGGAGCUAAUACCGGAUAAUAUAUUGAACCGCAUGGUUCAAUAGUGAAAGUCGGUUUUGCUGUCACUUAUAGAUGGAUCCGCGCCGCAUUAGCUAGUUGGUAAGGUAACGGCUUACCAAGGCGACUAUGCGUAGCCGACCUGAGAGAGUGGUCGGCCACACUAGAAGUGGGACACGGACCAGACUCCUACGGGACGCAGCAGUAGCGAAUGUUACGCAAUGGGGGAGAGCUUGGCAGAGCAGCGCCGAGUGAGUGAUGAAGAUCUUCGGAUCGGAAAGCUGUGUUAUUAGGUAAGAACCAAUGUGUAAGUAACUAUGCCGUGCUUGACGGUACCUAAUCAGAAAGCAACGGCUAACUACGUG
RNAcentral lists this ribosomal RNA (497 nucleotides) under uncultured bacterium. RNAcentral's name for it is "partial 16S ribosomal RNA". It matches the Rfam family "Bacterial small subunit ribosomal RNA", at positions 28 to 507 of the family's 1533-position model. The record is from RNAcentral.